RNAcentral lists this long non-coding RNA (225 nucleotides) under Elaeis guineensis (African oil palm). RNAcentral's name for it is "long non-coding RNA (EGUI_LNC003912)". Lineage: Eukaryota; Viridiplantae; Streptophyta; Magnoliopsida; Arecales; Arecaceae. The record is from RNAcentral.
CCGGACCAAAAAAAUCAGACCCAAACAAUUCACGGGCCAAAACUCUCCCACCCAGCACCUGGAAUCACCAAAACCACCAAACUUUACCCUCAACUCCUAUUUGACAUCCUAACAUUUUUAGCUCGCAGCCUAACUUCGACCAUUAGGAUCCCAUGGUUUUCAGAUUCAAUUUUUUUCAAAAUGACCCUUUUCCCACAAACACUAUCAGACAAGAUAAACUCCGCC